CAAUUUUGUGUUGCAAUUUUCUCUUUCUUCUACUUUCUCUCUCCCAACUUCUUCUUCCUUUUCUCAAAUCUCACUUUCUUCCUCUUUUUCUCUCAAAUCUCACUUUCUUCCUCUUCUUCAUUUCCCUUUUUCUUCAUCAUCUUCUUCGACUGAAAUUUCUUAACGUUGGUGGGGGAUCUACAUUUUUGUUGUCUUGUGGUGGUCGGAGCUGAAACACAAACGACGAAGAAGACGCCGACUCUCCUCAAAUUUUCGAGAUGUGUUUCGAUUUCACCGUUUGGAAUGUCUGAGGCCAAGAUAUUAGUGCAGGUUUAUCGGUGAUGGAUUUAUGCUCGAAGUUCGAUCGCGGUGGCCGCCAGUGAUUAUUCCAAAAGAAUUUACUGGAUCAGAGCUUUAUAUUGGAAGCAACAUGAAAUAAAUUAUUCAGACAUGGAUGAUGCAAUGGUAUGCGACGCUCCACCGUAUUCUUCUGCUUCAGAUUUGUUAUUUACAUUCUAAUUCAUGUUUUUGCAUUUAUGAUAUGUCUUUUAAAAUUCUUCUUUCUUCUGAAAAAAUGGAGUGGGCUCAAUUAAACACAACCGGUAUGUAUUGAAUUGUUAGAUUUCUGUUAAAGAUAUCAAUAUUAUGCAUGGUUAAAUAUAUUUAUAGUUUUAUACAAUAAUGUAUUUGGCCUUCAGAGAUACAAGGCUUAUAGGCAAGACACCAUUGUUGUAGCUGGAUCUGAAUAUGGCAGUGGAAUAUAGACCAUUGUUGUAGCUGAAUAUC
Molecule: long non-coding RNA, 765 nt
Organism: Vicia villosa (hairy vetch)
Lineage: Eukaryota; Viridiplantae; Streptophyta; Magnoliopsida; Fabales; Fabaceae
Exons: 4
Source: RefSeq, a predicted model, not a curated record